UACAGAGGUCUCGAGCGUUGUUCGGAUUCAUUGGGCGUAAAGGGUGCGUAGGUGGUCGUGUAAGUCGGAUGUGAAAUCCCGGGGCUCAACCCCGGAACUGCAUUCGAUACUGCGCGGCUUGAGUACUGGAGAGGAGAUCGGAAUUUACGGUGUAGCAGUGAAAUGCGUAGAUAUCGUAAGGAAGACCAGUGGCGAAGGCGGAUCUCUGGACAGUUACUGACACUGAGGCACGAAGGCCAGGGGAGCAAACGGG
This 253-nucleotide ribosomal RNA is filed under the name uncultured bacterium. RNAcentral's name for it is "partial 16S ribosomal RNA". It matches the Rfam family "Bacterial small subunit ribosomal RNA", at positions 524 to 776 of the family's 1533-position model. RNAcentral also lists the same sequence under 1 other name. The record is from RNAcentral.